This 340-nucleotide long non-coding RNA is filed under the name Mytilus galloprovincialis (Mediterranean mussel). The record is from RNAcentral. Lineage: Eukaryota; Metazoa; Mollusca; Bivalvia; Mytilida; Mytilidae.
GUCUGUUUGUUGAUCUACCUGUACAAGCUCAGGUACAAGUGAUUAGCGAUCUUAAUCCGUAUGUUCCUCAGGCGUUAGAACUGUAUUUGGAUUAUACAUAAAAAGCCUAAGGGUUAUGCAAUUACAUGCAUUUAAUUACAAUUGAUAAAAAAAAAUGGCGUCGGGCUACAAAAAACGAUGAAGUUUUGAACGAUGGCGGAAGACAUUUAACGAUGGCGCAAGAAAAUUUAACGAUGGCGCGAGUCAUUUGACGAUGGCGCGAGUCAUUUGACGAUGGCGCAUGACAUUUUAACGAUGGCGGGGCGCCAUCGUUAAACAGGCCAUGGAGAUCCCUGACGUA